AAUGGUAAUGGUUAAUAUGCACUGAGAACUUGAAAUAAUAGUAAUAAUUUAAUGCUUUCCUCUAUACAGCACUGUGCUAAGCAUUUUAGACAAAUUUAUCUAACAUUAACAUGAUGUUUAUCCCCAUUUUAAAUGUAAAAAACGGAAAUUUAAGAGAGGACACAUAGUGAGUGACGGGACAGAGUUAAGAGUCAAACCCAAGUCUGUGUUUUCAGGGUCCAUAUGUUUAACCAGUUUGCUGAAUUCUGAGAGGGUAAAUGGUUUGCCCCAAAUAAUCUGGCUAGAAAGCAUGGAUUUUGACCCAUAAUUUCUGUGUCCUUUUAUAUUGUAAAUAUUUCAAUAUAUAAAUAUCUAUUGGAGCUACUCUAAGUAGAACAACAGAGCCUCUGUAGAAAGGAAAGAUUCCACUGUUUUUAAUUUCAAAUAACUCAGAAUGGACUUUAAAAAGAAUGCUGCCUGUUAGGGAAUGAGUCCAAAGUCCUGCCGUGUCUGUUAAUGAACUAUAUUAAUUAUUUGCAAACAUGUAAAAUGCAAGUGAAUAUUUUUGAUUUUCGAAGAAUCAGAAUCUCCUUGACUUUCAAGGAAGUGUUCACAGAAUUAAGCUGUGCACAAAAGAAAAGAGUAGAACAGGAGGGAAGCUAGUAGAAUCUGCACACGUUAAAAAGAAAUGAAUGAGUCUGAUGCUGAGCACUAGACUUCUAUAUCCACUGCUGACAUCAAAAAAGACAGAAUGGCCAAAAACUGAAGGAAAGUGCUACCAAGAGCUGCUACCAAGAACCUAUUGACUACAAGAGUAAUGUGGUCUUGAAAUAGAUUAUUUGGGAAAUCAUAGCAUCUCCUCUAUGGUUUACAGGGAAAGACCAGUGUCUUAUUUAGCACUUAUAUAUGUUCACUAAAUAUGCUACAAUUACCAUCCUAGCUAAAAGAUGUCACAGCCCAACCCUUCAUUAAAAAAAAAGAGAGAAAACGAAAAGUGAAGAAAAGCAGCUUAGCAAUUAUUCUCCAUGGGAAAAAUGACUAUAAAAUAAAUGCACCUCAUAAAUUAUUUGCAGACAUGUCCAUAUUAGAAUGAAAUAAGAUCUUUCAGAGGAUAACACACCUGUGCCAUGGAUAAUUGCCCUCAUUCACAAAUAAUAAGUGGUCUACCAGAUGUUUAGCCCCACACAGACAUAUGUAAGGCAAAGCAGUAGGAGAGGGUGUCUUAGCUCAGACCCGAGACGAUCUUUUUUAUCCUUUACAAGCUUCCAUGCUGUGUCAGCAGCUUAUUUAGUAAGGUAACCAAAAUCAUGGAGGAUUCCAACUGUUAAGUACUAACAUUUCACUUCAGCUAUUACACUUACAGGUAGAGAACCCCACAGGGUGAUUAGAAACCUGAAGUCUGAAUUAGAUGUCUACAUUUCUUUUGUUUCCUUUUUACUUUUGACAGAUGCAAACAAUAAAAAUUUUCUUAAAUUUCAAGGGUCUCAUCAAUAUGAAAAGGGUAUUGCAAAGCUAAAUAGAACUUCAAAAUGUGGCUAGAAACAACUUUACUUAUCUAAUGAAUGUGAUUCCAUUUUGGAGAAUAAAUAUUAGAAUGAUUCUAUAAUUAUCAUUCUUGUUUUCUGUAAUAUUCAAUGUACCAAAAGACAUCAUGUGAAAUAAAGGCUGUUCCAGUUACUAAAGUGCUGACAGGGAGUAUUAUUGGUGCACUAUUGGCCUUCGCAGUGGCCUAGGUAUAACUGGUGUUAUACAAGAUGAUUUCACUUGUUAGUUUGUUUCAGAAGUAUAUGUUCAAACAGGUGAAACAAGUUUAACUGUGUGACACUACUGUGAAUAUUACAUAACUGGUGAUUACAUCCAAAAGAUAAAUAUUAAUUAUAUUCCCAAACUCACAGAAAGCCCUCGCAAGUAAGUUACAAUAGCAUAAAAAAUGUCUUUUUAGCAUGCCAGUGGGCCACGAUCAGUGUAACAUCUCUCUCAUUAAUAUCAAAGGAGAUUUGUGUGAACAUGUUGUGUCUCCCUUGAUGACAAACUCAAGAGCACAAGGAAUCCACCCUCAAGUACCCAGAGCUGAUGUUAAUAAUAAUACAUGCACAAUGUUCACAGCUAGCAUUCUUCCCCUUCUUCAUCUGAGAACGGCUCCCAGCCAUACCCUGCACUUACGCGCACACACUCACACUUAUACACGACUACAGCGGGAACUUCCACACCUCUACAUGAUCAUGCUGCCGAGACAGACUUAAACAGUCCAGGAGUGGACACCUGACCUUAGCUAGACCAAUCAGAGUCCUUGAAAGAAAAUCAGCCUCCUCUCUUUCAGAGGACCUUUGGCAAGGCGCCAAGUAUGUGGAAGAAGCAAACUUUCAGGGAGAAAGGGUGAAACUAAAAGGCCAAGAGGAGCAGUGACGAGAGACGGCGUGAGCCCUGAGGCCUGUCUAGUCUCUGCUUCCAGCUCUUCUUACGACCCUGUUGAAUCCCUGUCCUCCUGCAGUUUAAGUUGUGCAAAUUGUACCUGGAUUCCAUGAAACACUAAUUUACUUUUUUGGCCUAAGCUAGUUUGAUUUCUGUAGCUUAUAAUCAAAGAGACCUAACAAAUUAUAUUAAGCACAUGUAGCAUGUAAGUCAAGUUUUAACCAUUUUCUUCCAAAAUUAAAGUUGACUCACAACUUAAAAUCCUACCACAACAUAAGCAAAGACUCAGAGGCAAAACUGAGAAUGAUACACCUAGGGAAAGAAAAGCAGUAAGUACAACCAAAUUGAACUGAUCCUGCAAUGGAGAGGAUGGAAGUAGUUUUACCAAGAGUAAACGAAAGUAAAGCAGGAAGAACACCAGAAAGAGCACUGUGAAGGAUUGGAGAGAAAAACAAUAGGAGGCUAAUGCAGGGGUCUUUACACAAGACGUGGUGCCGGGACUGAGGCGAUGGGAUGGAGGAGAAAAACGAAAACGUUCAUAUUUCAUAAGAAUAAUUAACUAGGAAGAGGUGGGGAUAUGAGGACAAACACUUAUUGAGCACCCAUUACAUGUCAGUCACGGUUUUAAAUAAAUCUCUCUCCAUUUUAAAAUAUAUGUAUAUCUAUACAUAUGUAUAGAUAUACACUCAUGCACACAUACUUUAAUCUUCACAACAACCUUAUAUGGUAAGAGGUAAUCCAUUUUAACUGAGAAAACUGAGACCUAGAAAUAUUACAUUAAAAUUCCCAAGUAAAGUUCAAAUCCCAGUCCAUCUGACCUAUUUCACGUUGCUUCCCAAGCCUAAUCAGAUCCGGAAAACAAAGGCGAGGACGCAGCCCACAGAAAAAUGGAAACAGCCUGAAGGCAGUUGGAAAUAUAAUUUGCACAAUCUUCCUUAAAAUAGCAUAUCAUUUCAGACCAAUAUAAUGUUAGCUUUGAAAAUUUGUGCACAUCUGAGAUAAAUGUGAAAACAACAAAUAGGUAACAUCACAAAGUUGUUACAGCAAUUGGACUAGUGGAAAGCAAAAAUAAAAAAGAAAUUGCAUUUGUGGAGGACAGGGAAAUAUAUGUCCUUAUUUAAGCUUAGUGAGACCGGAAUUAUGUCUGUCUGGUUCAGCCCUGUAACUUCAGGAUUUAUCAAAGUGCCUGUCACAUAAUGUUUCAAUUAAUAGUUUUAAAUUUUGAAGUCUUAAUUGAGAAAGACUUUGAGGACUAUAUGUAAACCCAAGAGGUCUUUACAUAAUAACAGAAGAGAACUUGAUAAAUUCAGGAUGGUCACCGAUGCGGAGUGGACAGGAGGGAUAAUGUGGAAGGGAGGAAAUCCCGUUGAUUUCACUUUGAAGAGUCCUGCAUGUUGAAGAAGAAACCAGGCCCUCAGGCAACGCUGCAAGAAGCAAACACUAAAACCAGAGCUUUUUCAAACUUCUUUCAUGCCUAUUUCUUCCCAUCGUAUUUAUACUUGGUAAUUUCAGGUGCUGCCUGUUUCUGGGAAAGUUCUUCUCAGACGCCAGCUUCAGGCAAACAGCAGUUGGACAGGCCUUUUGUUUAUUUUUGGUCCUUUUUAUUUUUUUUAGUGGAUUAUCUUUCUGUUCAGACACCACAAUCGGCCAUGGAUGAUAAGCUGAUGGCUCCUCAACAGGCUGUAUGAUGUCAUAUUAACUUCACUUUCUGGCUGUGGGAUUUGGGGAAGUCAGUCACUGCCUCAGAGUCUCAGUUUGUGUAGGAGAAAGCAAACACAGCAGAGUAUUCUAAAGAUGAAUGGAGCGUCUUGAAUAUUUUCUCUUACCUAAUUUUGUUAACAAAGGGUUCUAGAUUGCUCUGCAUUUCAUCUCACUCAGCUAGACCUGCAGCAAAAGUCAACAGCAAACAGGUGGAAGUAACUCUGCUGGACCUAAUUCAUAAAGCAGUACAUGUUGCUGAUUUAUCCUGAUGUGUGAAAAUUUUCACAGCUGUAUACAAGACACAUUCAUCUAACUGAAGAGGUUUUUCAGUCCCUAUAGGACUACAGUCAGAACAAAGGAAGAAGGAAACUCAGUUUUCCCUGCUCUGUUAGAACAAGACUGGGAACUCUCUACUCUUACUGGCUGGAGCUAGAAAGACCAGGUCAUUUAGAUGUCUGUGAGACCUCUCGCCAAAGCCAAGAAUAAAAGAUGGAAAAAAAAAUUUAUAGUGGUACAACACUCACAAUUUAUAAUUCUGAUUUUUGAAGUAUUAACUAAUAAGUAGUAUAUUGAAAUACACGUUAUGAUGCUAAGCUGAUUACUCUAUUAGACCAAUUUGGUAUACAAAAUAAUAUUAAGUCUCCUGAGAACUUUGGAAGAAAGAGUAGGUGAAACAAUGCAUUUUUACAGAAUUUGGUAAAUAAUCAUUUUUCUGUAGUGCCAUUUUAUAAAAUGUGUGACCUGCUGAGCUUUUUCAUAUCAAAUGUUCUAGUUAAUUAGCCACUUAACUUCUCAUAAAGUAUUAUCUAAACCUUCCAGAAAUGUAAUCGCUCUCACAUUCAUGCCAUAAUUCAAGGAUCAAUAAGAGCUAUUCGUGAUUUCUAUAAUCAAACAAAAAUAUAACACAAAUAAACUCUGAAUGUGCUCGUUUGGAAUAAUUUUUCAUGACCACUGCUUAGUUAUGUGUUUAUGACUUUCUAUACCCUUCAAGGAGGAGUCCUCUUAGGAGUGCUAGGCUUACCGUUGGUACUUCUGG
RNAcentral lists this long non-coding RNA (5128 nucleotides) under Equus caballus (horse). Its description in RNAcentral is "lncRNA (ENSECAG00000059364.1)". Lineage: Eukaryota; Metazoa; Chordata; Mammalia; Perissodactyla; Equidae. The record is from RNAcentral.